This 2116-nucleotide long non-coding RNA is filed under the name Manihot esculenta (cassava). RNAcentral describes it as "long non-coding RNA (MESC_LNC006358)". Lineage: Eukaryota; Viridiplantae; Streptophyta; Magnoliopsida; Malpighiales; Euphorbiaceae. The record is from RNAcentral.
AAUGAUCUCUUUUCAUUCCAAACUUUGAUAUUCUGUGCCUUGUCAGGCUUGCAGUUUCAAGAAAAUGUUAAUAAUUCUUUAUAAUAUGCAUAAACUGGCUUUGGCAGGAGGAGAGCUCACAGUGAUAAGAUUCCUGCUACAUGACAAAUCAGAAAACAACAGAAGAAACCGGGAAUUACAGAGUAAAUCUAGCUGACCAAGAAGCAGAAAUUAAGCCCGAAGAAACACCUUGCCGAUUCAGCCCAGACCUAUGCAACCUUUCAGAUCACUGAAAAGAGAGUAUGAGCUAAUCAUUGAAGAAUUUUCAAAUAAAACAAUUUUAUUAUGGACAUUAAUAGAUCUCUAUUCUAAUAUAAACAAUGAUGAGAUUGUAUUUGUUGUAUAUACACUGACUGGCCGGCUGCAGUGUCUAGAAUUAGAAAAAUGAAGGGGUGGUGCUUUUCAGGGUCUAGUUUCUCACUGAAAACCUCUGUUUUGAUCACCCAACAGCACAGACUCAGGGCAAAAAUAGACUGAAUGGACAAAAAUCCAUAUUAUUUGCAGGGUAAUUGUCUGCAAUUCUUAUUUAGAUAAGUCUGCAUUGAUUCCUGGAGUUUUAUAUGAAGUCCACAGUUAUUUUACCCUAUUGAUAUAGACCGAUUUAGAUAAAAUUUUCCAUUGAGAAGUUUACCUGUAUAAAAUUUUGUGGAUUGGGGUCUGGGGUGUAACAAAUUGAUCCUGGGCCUCUACAAAUGGGCUCUUGUGGAACUUAGAUUGCAUCAUUGCCUGAAUUUCACAUAAUAUUUCAGACCCAGGAAUAUAAAUAUUUUUUUAAGAAAGUUUUUGUCCGCGAGUGUUCGUGAAAUUCUCUCGGAGGGUUGAUAGAAGACAGCUCUAAGCAAACUUAAAUCGUUAAAAUCACAUGGAUGGUCCUUUAGUUUGAUUUUAGGAAGAGAUAAUUCAAGCAGACACUGAUGUAUUGAUUCUUUUCAGAUUGCUUUCAAGGGUUUCAAUGAAGAUUGGGCAAAAGGGUGAUUUGGAAACUGUGUGAGGUAUUUUUCUUAUUCCUCCAUCUACUUUCUGUGUUUUUACUACACCAGCUGUACGGAAUUAUAGCUUGCUUUUCGUCUAUCGAAGAAUUUAGCCUUUUGUUGUGUUUGGUAUAAUACGUUUUUCAUCAAUAGUCUUCAGCUGUUCUGCUAAUGGGAUAGUGAAAUUAAAACCAAACGGGUACCUGAAAAUUUCUUCCCGGGGAUAAGAAUUGCAGCAGAAAUCAAAUGGGGGAUACGAAAUUCAGUAUCAAAAGUGCUCUUAGUUUUAUUUUCUUUAAUAAUAAUUUGAUAGAAAAAGAUGAAAUUAGAACAGCAAGAUAUCUUUGAUCAACAAGCAGUACAAAUAAACAUACUUUCACUGGAAAUCAAAAUUCAAAAGUCAAAACAUUAUAAAGAAAACAAAGUCUUCCUUUUACUGUAUGGCCUACUAUCUUGCUAGGGGAGUUGAUUCAGUAAUCAUUUCAAUGGAAGCUAUUGGUUCACUCCUAGAAUGUCCCUUCCUCUUUUCAGUUCUUUCUGUUGCUAAGCAUUCAUUUAGUUCUGUCACUACUUGAUGCAUAGUUGGCCUGCCAGCAGAAAUUGGGGUUGUACAGGCCAUUGCUAUUUCUACUGCUUUCCAGACAGAAUUAUUGUCGAAAUCUCCACCUAACCUUGGAUCAACAACAUUUUUAAUGUCCCCGUUUGCGAGCAGAGAACUAACCCAUUGACGCAGAUGAAUAUUCCUCUCACCUCCUCCUGCAAUCACUGGCCUUCCUGUGAUUAUCUUUAAGAGAACAACCCCGAAGCUAUACACAUCACUUUUCUCUGUUAGCCAGUUUGUCACAGAAUACCUACAAGCCCAAAUUUGGAACUCAAGGCAUAUAAAUUUUCAGUUUCCUAUAGACCAUGAAAUUCUUUUACUUGAACAGAUAAACCAUUUCAUUUUAUUUGAUAUAGACUACUCACUCAGGAUCAAGGUAGCCAGGGGUGCCAGCAACAACUGUUGUUACAUGAGUGCCACCUUCAACCGGGAAAGAUCUGGACAGUCCAAAAUCAGCAAGUCUUGCUUGGAAAUUGUCAUUUAAUAAAAUGUUUGAUGUCUUCAC